RNAcentral lists this ribosomal RNA (253 nucleotides) under uncultured bacterium. Its description in RNAcentral is "partial 16S ribosomal RNA". It matches the Rfam family "Bacterial small subunit ribosomal RNA", at positions 524 to 776 of the family's 1533-position model. The record is from RNAcentral.
UACGUAGGGAGCAAGCGUUGUCCGGAAUCAUUGGGCGUAAAGCGCGCGUAGGUGGCCUCAUAAGUCCGCUGUGAAAGUCAAAGGCUCAACCUUUGAAAGCCGGUGGAUACUGUGAGGCUAGAGUACGGAAGAGGCGAGUGGAAUUCCUGGUGUAGCGGUGGAAUGCGCAGAUAUCAGGAGGAACACCAAUUGCGAAGGCAGCUCGCUGGGACGUUACUGACGCUAAGGCGCGAAAGCGUGGGGAGCGAACAGG